AAAAGUUCACAGUAGGUGAAACGUUUGGAAUUGGAGAAAAAGAGGCAAGAGAAGAGAAAAGCAAGGAAAACCUAAGAAGAGCUCUAGGGAAGGGAAAUCAUAGCCAAAAGCUUGGAUUUUUCUGGAAUUACAAGGUAAAGGUGUGAAUUUGGAUUGAUGAUGAAUGUUGAUAUUUGUUGAAUGAAAUUUAUGCUUUAAAGUGUUCAUGUAGGUUCACCAUGGAUAAUGUUUGAAGGUUUUAG
RNAcentral lists this long non-coding RNA (242 nucleotides) under Lathyrus oleraceus (garden pea). RNAcentral describes it as "Pisum sativum (pea) long non-coding RNA (PSAT_LNC005086)". The record is from RNAcentral. Lineage: Eukaryota; Viridiplantae; Streptophyta; Magnoliopsida; Fabales; Fabaceae.